RNAcentral lists this non-coding RNA (374 nucleotides) under Botryosphaeria dothidea. Lineage: Eukaryota; Fungi; Ascomycota; Dothideomycetes; Botryosphaeriales; Botryosphaeriaceae. The record is from RNAcentral.
UCACGGGAGCACAGGUUUCACCGCUGCCAGCACAGUCUAUUUAUAAUUAAUCGCCACUGUGCACUGCGAUGGGACCAGGACAGGGUCCCCCAACCCUGUGUUUUCACAAUUCUUCCUUGGCAGGAAAGAACGGCGUCCUAAUGCCCCCCCCCUCCAGAAGCUACUACCAUAGCGCAGCAACUGAAGAGUUGGCAGGAAAGGAUCAAAGAUCCUAAAGUCACAAUCUGUUGUUUGCCCGGUUGCAGCUCCGGGGGUUCGGUCACUUGUCUCGUCGGGUUUUCGCCCCAGGAUUUGUUGUCCUGAGCGUGGAGCGGCCGUUAUACAGGAAACAAAGCCUGUACCGGUUUCUCACCCCAAGUCCACAAGUGGCCCAA